CAGUAGCCGCGGUAAUACAGAGGGUGCAAGCGUUAAUCGGAAUUACUGGGCGUAAAGUGCGCGUAGGUGGUUUGUUAAGUUGGAUGUGAAAUCCCCGGGCUCAACCUGGGAACUGCAUCCAAAACUGGCAAGCUAGAGUAUGGUAGAGGGUGGUGGAAUUUCCUGUGUAGCGGUGAAAUGCGUAGAUAUAGGAAGGAACACCAGUGGCGAAGGCGACCACCUGGACUGAUACUGACACUGAGGUGCGAAAGCGUGGGGAGCAAACAGGAUUAGAUACCCCGGUAGUCCCUGUCUCUUAUAC
This 301-nucleotide ribosomal RNA is filed under the name uncultured bacterium. RNAcentral describes it as "partial 16S ribosomal RNA". It matches the Rfam family "Bacterial small subunit ribosomal RNA", at positions 509 to 807 of the family's 1533-position model. The record is from RNAcentral.